This is a long non-coding RNA of Mirounga angustirostris (Northern elephant seal), 616 nucleotides long. RefSeq lists it as uncharacterized. The record is from RefSeq and is a predicted model, not a curated record. Lineage: Eukaryota; Metazoa; Chordata; Mammalia; Carnivora; Phocidae. The transcript has 3 exons.
CCAGCACCAGUCUCCAGGAGCCCAUGCCUGCAAGCAAGCAAACCUGCUGUUGUUGACCAGAUGUGUUUCUGAAUUCAAAUACUUUGGAUUUAGAAAAGUAAUAGAGUGCACCUCCGAAUCAAACAUUGAAAUACAUCGGCUGCCAAACAUGAUUAUUGAUGUGUGAACUGAAACACGCACAUGUGUGCAGGGCAUGCAGAGGGGCGUAACAUCUCUCCUGCUGACCAAGAAACUGAUAUCAGUGGUUCUCCAAGAAACAGAGACUAAAGGGCUGGCUAUUCUGCUUUUGUGAGGUGGUGAUUACCCUAAUGAUUACGUGAAGUCAUUAUACUGGGUGAAGCAAGACACGAAGAGGAUCUUACCAGGCAGCUAAAAUAGUUCUCAAGGAAAACCAUAGAGGUAGAUCUGUAUGUGUGGGCAAGCUAUACCUAAAUUUGGAAACUUUGUACAGGCACUAAGCAAAACUGCAUUGUAUCAACAUUAUCGGGUAGAAAUCAAUUCAUGUUGUCACAAUUAAGCUAAUCUAUUUUAAUAUAUUCUGUAAGGCAGACUUAUCCUUAAUUAGAAUACUUUUCAAUCUUUUUCGUCCUUUCCAAGCGGUAAAGCUUUUAUUAAG